GAUGAACGCUGGCGGCGUGCCUAAUACAUGCAAGUCGAGCGAACAGACGAGGAGCUUGCUCCUCUGACGUUAGCGGCGGACGGGUGAGUAACACGUGGAUAACCUACCUCUCAGACUGGGAUAACUUCGGGAAACCGGAGCUAAUACCGGAUAAUAUAUUGAACCGCAUGGUUCAAUAGUGAAAGACGGUUUUGCUGUCACUUAUAGAUGGAUCCGCGCCGCAUUAGCUAGUUGGGAAGGUAACGGCUUACCAAGGCAAGGAUGCGUAGACGACCUGAGAGGGUGAGCGGCCACAUUGUAACAGAGACACGGUACAGACUCCGACGGUGGGCAGCAGUAGGGAAUCUUCCGCAAUGGACGAAAGCCUGACGUAGCAACGCCGCGUGAAUGAUGAAGGUCUUAUGAUCGUAAAACGCUGAUAUUAGGGAAGAACAAAUGUGUAAGUAACUAUGCACGUCUUGACGGUACCUAAUCAGAAAGCCACGGCUAACUACGUG
This 497-nucleotide ribosomal RNA is filed under the name uncultured bacterium. RNAcentral's name for it is "partial 16S ribosomal RNA". It matches the Rfam family "Bacterial small subunit ribosomal RNA", at positions 28 to 507 of the family's 1533-position model. The record is from RNAcentral.